This is a long non-coding RNA of Solanum dulcamara, 423 nucleotides long. RefSeq lists it as uncharacterized. The transcript has 4 exons. The record is from RefSeq and is a predicted model, not a curated record. Lineage: Eukaryota; Viridiplantae; Streptophyta; Magnoliopsida; Solanales; Solanaceae.
UAGGGCUGCAAACAGCCAACAAAGCUCAGCCGCAUAAAGGAGUUUCCGAAGUUAAUUUUCAGCAAGUUUGGGAAGCUGUUUGUUAAGUUUUGAAGCUGCAACAAGCGGACAACAAACAGCUACAAUGUUUCAGCCGCGCUAGAAGAACUUUCGAGGCAAGUUUUGGCAAGCUUUGGCCAAUUUCGGGUAAGGUUCAAGAGACGAUGAGGCGAACGUGUUAUAGUAAUCCGUAAGAGGUACAGACGCUCGGUUUGCUGAUCCAUUCGCCUAGGAUACCCACCUUGUUUGUUGGCAGUGCUUCUUUGUUCGGAGCCCUAUUUUGGUACUAACUUUUCUAUUGUACAUUUAUACAUAUUGGUUAAGGGUACGACGGGGCCCUGUCCCUUCAUAUGACUAGGCUAUCGUUCUGUAGAGGUCUAUAGA